This 1400-nucleotide ribosomal RNA is filed under the name metagenome. RNAcentral's name for it is "bacterial SSU rRNA". It matches the Rfam family "Bacterial small subunit ribosomal RNA". The record is from RNAcentral.
AGGCAUGCAAGUCGAACGGUGAGGCCCCGCAAGGGGCCGAUCAGUGGCGAAAGGGUGAGUAACACGUGAGCAAUCUGCCCUCGAGAUCGGGAUAGCCCCGGGAAACUGGGAUUAAUACCGGAUGUGGUUACCGGUCGCAUGGCCGGUGUACUGAAGGCGCAAGCCGCUCGAGGAUGAGCUCGCGUCCGAUUAGCUAGUUGGCGGGGUCACGGCCCACCAAGGCUGAGAUCGGUAGGUGGUCUGAGAGGAUGGUCACCCACACUGGGACUGAGACACUGCCCAGACUCCUACGGGAGGCUGCAGUCGAGAAUCUUCCGCGAUGGGCGAAAGCCUGACGGAGCGAUGCCGCGUGAGGGACGAAACCAAUGACGGUACCGGGAGAGGAAGCUACGGCUAACUACGUGCCAGCAGCCGCGGUAAUACGUAGGUAGCAAGCGUUAUUCGGAUUUACUGGGCGUAAAGGGUCCGCAGGGGGCCUGCCAAGUCUGAUGUGAAACACCACGGCUCAACUGUGGAACGGCAUUGGAAACUGGCGGGCUAGAGUGCAUGAGGGGUGAGCAGAAUUCCUGGUGUAGCGGUGGAAUGCGUAGAUAUCAGGAGGAAUACCGAUGGCGAAGGCGGCUCACUGGCAUGCAACUGACCCUCAGGGACGAAAGCGUGGGUAGCAAACAGGAUUAGAUACCCUGGUAGUCCACGCUGUAAACGGUGUACACUAGAUGUGGGUGGUCCUUUUGGUCCCAUCCGUGUCCAAGCUAACGCGUUAAGUGUACCGCCUGGGGACUACGGCCGCAAGGUUAAAACUCAAAGGAAUUGACGGGGGCCCGCACAAGCGGUGGAGUAUGUGGCUUAAUUCGAGGCAACGCGAAGAACCUUACCUGGGCUUGACAUAUACCUGACGGGGUGUGAAAGCAUCCUUUCCUUCGGGACGGGUAUACAGGUGCUGCAUGGCUGUCGUCAGCUCGUGUCGUGAGAUGUUCGGUUAAGUCCGGCAACGAGCGCAACCCGUACUGUCAGUUGCGAACAGGUGAAGCUGAGCACUCUGGCGGGACUGCCCGUGUUAAGCGGGAGGAAGGCGCGGAUGACGUCAAGUCAGUAUGGCCCUUACGUCCAGGGCUGCACACGUACUACAAUGGGCGGUACAGUGGGUAGCAAUACCGCGAGGUGGAGCAAAUCCUCAAAACCGCCCCCAGUUCAGAUUGCAGUCUGCAACUCGACUGCAUGAAGCCGGAAUCGCUAGUAAAGGCGUAUCAGCAACGACGCCUUGAAUACGUUCCCGGGCCUUGUACACACCGCCCGUCACAUCAUGGAAGCCGGUUGCACCCGACACUUCCGAUCCAACCCGCAAGGGAGGUAGGAAACUAAGGUGUGCCCGGUAACUGGGAUGAAGUCGUAACAAGGUA